Molecule: ribosomal RNA, 358 nt
Filed under: uncultured bacterium
Lineage: Bacteria
Description: bacterial SSU rRNA
Rfam family: Bacterial small subunit ribosomal RNA
Source: RNAcentral
GAGAACGCUGGCGGCGUGCUUNUUACAUGCAAGCNCGAGCGAACCCUUCGGGGUUAGCGGCGGACGGGUGAGUAACACGUGGGUAACCUGCCUAUAAGACUGGGAUAACUUCGGGAAACCGUAGCUAAUACCGGAUAUAUUUUUGGUUCACAUGAACCGAAUUGGAAAGGCGGCUUUUGCUGUCACUUAUAGAUGGACCCGCGGCGCAUUAGCUAGUUGGUGAGGUAACGGCUCACCAAGGCGACGAUGCGUAGCCGACCUGAAAGGGUGAUCGGCCACACUGGGACUGAGACACGGCCCAGACUCCUACGGUAGGCAGCAUUAGGGAAUCUUCGUCAAUGGGCGANAGCCUGACCGA